CAUUGCAUAUCAUGCCUUUCAAGUCUGAGUAACGUAAUAUAAUUCUUUUACCUGUAUACCCUUAAAAAGUUCACUCGCUCUUGUAUACCUCAUGUGAACUUUUGUUUACCCGUAUACCUCCGUCCAGCUUCUGUUAGUAUCUAACUGUUAAGUUGGCCUGACACAUGGGGAUCCACCAAGGCAAAUUUCUAUGUUGCCCUCGGACCGAUAAGGCCCUCACGAGUGCUCUCAUCCCCUCCUCCCAGCAGUCCCGUCGCCCUCCUCUUACCAGGCGCUGAAGCGCCGCCAGCCCGCGCCCAGGUGCAGCGCUCGGCGAAGUGGCGCGCCAUGCCAACGAAGAGAUCUCCUUUGGCAUCACACUCUGCGUGCGGCCUGGCUUACAUGGGCGGCUGACCCCUCUGGUCAUCGAUCUGCCUCGCAGUGAGGAGCCCAUGGUCACCAGCUAAUAAUGAGGAGUUGCGGUAUCCGGAUGUUGAUUCACCUUAGAGCCACGUGCGAGUUGGACAUCAGACAGCAGCUUCGCAACCCAUUUCUUCAGAAAUUUAAAGUAUCCCUCCUUGGAUACAGACUUUAGAACUCACUGUCCUUUUUCUCGUUUGUAUAGGCCCAAAAAACUGAACAAACAGCAAAGUGCUUCAAAUAUGAUGUGAAAGUAAUGCUAGAACAAAUUUUGCACGGUGAACAAACAGCAGUUAUAGUACUAUCGUCGUCUCUAUUGGAUGAUAACAAGACCGUAUGUUGCUAGUUCUUGUGCCGUUGUACUGUGUAGUAGUAUCUUCACUCUGGCAAUGCAUUGCCGUAUCAAGCUUUUGGGUGUCUUCCUCUCGGCACUGCCGCUGCUGCCGCCGCCGGGGAUCUGAAAAACUCUGGACUUCCUCGGCAGUCGGCACCAUGUUUGAGUUUGACCAAGCUGGUGGAUCCCGCACUCGCGAAGCGACACCGAUCCGCUCCGCUGCGGGAUGCAUGCUCCGAGCCUCUCACGCGUCAGUCAUCAUGGGAACAAGUAUUUGGUGCUGUUAAUUGUUUCUGUUAAUUGUAAAUUCUAUAUGCUUAGAACAUGUUGCUGAAUUUUUAAUUGUCAGAUCAAAUGUAUUUUCUUCA
Molecule: long non-coding RNA, 1101 nt
Organism: Panicum virgatum (switchgrass)
Lineage: Eukaryota; Viridiplantae; Streptophyta; Magnoliopsida; Poales; Poaceae
Exons: 2
Source: RefSeq, a predicted model, not a curated record